Molecule: non-coding RNA, 23 nt
Filed under: Arabidopsis thaliana (thale cress)
Lineage: Eukaryota; Viridiplantae; Streptophyta; Magnoliopsida; Brassicales; Brassicaceae
Source: RNAcentral
AUGAACGCAGCGUCAGCGACAAC